Mycena galopus ATCC 62051 is the source of this 100-nucleotide non-coding RNA. Lineage: Eukaryota; Fungi; Basidiomycota; Agaricomycetes; Agaricales; Mycenaceae. The record is from the annotation of a GenBank genome assembly.
GCCCCCUUGGCCCAGUGGUAAGGCGUGUCACUCGUAAAAAGAAUCCGUGUCUUUCCAUUGCGAUAUGACAAGAUCAGUUGUUCGAAUCAGCUAGGGGGCA